AUUGAACGCUGGCGGCAGGCCUAACACAUGCAAGUCGGGCGAGUGGCGGACGGGUGAGUAAUGUAUGGGGAUCUGCCUGAUGGAGGGGGAUAACUACUGGAAACGGUAGCUAAUACCGCAUACCAUCAGAUGAGCCCAUAUGGGAUUAGCUUGUAGGUGGGGUAACGGCUCACCUAGGCGACGAUCCCUAGCUGGUCUGAGAGGAUGAUCAGCCCAACUGGGACCGAGACACGGCCCAGACUCCUACGGGGGGCAGCAGUGGGGAAUAUUGCACAAUGGGGGCAAGCCUGAUACAGCCAUGCCGGGGGGAUGAAAAAGGCCUUCGGGUUGUAAAGUACUUUCAGGCGGGAGGCGGUACCGACAGAAGAAGGACCGGCUAACUCCGUGCCAACAACCGCGGUAAUAC
Molecule: ribosomal RNA, 406 nt
Filed under: uncultured bacterium
Lineage: Bacteria
Description: partial 16S ribosomal RNA
Rfam family: Bacterial small subunit ribosomal RNA
Source: RNAcentral